UACGUGGGUGGCAAGCGUUACCCGGAAUUAUUGGGCGUAAAGCGCGCGCAGGCGGUUCCUUAAGUCUGAUGUGAAAGCCCACGGCUCAACCGUGGAGGGUCAUUGGAAACUGGGGGACUUGAGUGCAGAAGAGGAAAGCGGAAUUCCACGUGUAGCGGUGAAAUGCGUAGAGAUGUGGAGGAACACCAGUGGCGAAGGCGGCUUUUUGGUCUGUAACUGACGCUGAGGCGCGAAAGCGUGGGGAGCAAACAGG
This 253-nucleotide unclassified non-coding RNA is filed under the name uncultured Bacillaceae bacterium. RNAcentral describes it as "contains 16S-23S intergenic spacer region". It matches the Rfam family "Bacterial small subunit ribosomal RNA", at positions 524 to 776 of the family's 1533-position model. The record is from RNAcentral. Lineage: Bacteria; Bacillati; Bacillota; Bacilli; Caryophanales; Bacillaceae.